AUUACCGAUGAACGCACCGGGGAUGCUUGCUGGCCCGUAACAAAGGCAUGUGCACUCUCCGGGGUUUUUCUGUGAACGCUCACUCAACACCCUGUGCACCAUUUGUAGGCUUGAGAAAUCAGCCUAUGUCUUCUCUUACCACAAACACGCUUUGAAUGUAUUUUGUUGGCAAAUAUAACAAUUUGAAACAACUUUCAACAAUGGAUCUCUUGGCUCUCGCAUCGAUGAAGAACGCAGCGAAAUGCGAUACGUAAUGUGAAUUGCAGAAUUCCGUGAAUCAUCGAAUCUUUGAACGCACCUUGCGCCCCUUGGUAUUCCGAGGGGCAUGCCUGUUUGAGUGUCAUUGAAUUCUCAAACCUGAAUCUCCCCUGGUUCAGGCUUUGGAUUUGGAGAGUGCCGGCCUUCAAACNAGUCCGGCUCCUCUGAAAUGCAUUAGCAAGACCCUCUUCCGACGGCUUUGUGGCAUUGAUAAGACUGUCCAUGCCUAUUUUUGUCCGGCGGAAAAGUGGUUGCUUUGAAAUUGUCYGAAGCGAAACGGACACUUUACCAUUGACCAUUGACCUCAAAUCAGGUAGGACUACCCGCUGAACUUAAGCAUAU
Molecule: ribosomal RNA, 600 nt
Filed under: Hygrocybe punicea
Lineage: Eukaryota; Fungi; Basidiomycota; Agaricomycetes; Agaricales; Hygrophoraceae
Description: eukaryotic LSU rRNA
Source: RNAcentral